Long non-coding RNA from Diceros bicornis minor, 1246 nucleotides. RefSeq lists it as uncharacterized. The transcript has 2 exons. NCBI's taxonomy places the organism in Eukaryota, Metazoa, Chordata, Mammalia, Perissodactyla, Rhinocerotidae. The record is from RefSeq and is a predicted model, not a curated record.
CUUUCACCAAUCCUGAAACCUCCUGGACCUGACUCACAACCUGGUAACCUCUCCAGGAACUCUUAUUUAGACCAUCCCCAAUUCCUAAGACUGGAGGAAAAUUUUAAAUCACAAUUACCCUGAAACUUCUAGAAAAAACUUGCAUUUUUUUCUGUCUGUCCUUUGAAGUUCUACAUUUUUCCAUGUCUUUAGAAUGUAAACACCCCAGGAGAUAACAGCCCACAGUCACCUGAGACUAAACCUGGCUAGCUGAAUCAGUAAAGCCUGAGGUGAAAGAAAAAAAGGGGGGAAAUGUUUCAUUUUAAAUGCAGGCUGCUGGAGAAGCUCUCUCACCCCAAAUCUAAUUCAUAACCUCCUUAUCUACAGCAAAGAUAAAUCUUAAAGGUCUUCUCCACAAAUAUUAACAACAACAACUUUUAAGCAGUGCCCUCUUUGGAAAACAUGAACUAACUCCACGUGAGCCCAUCACCAGCACAUCACUGUUUGUUGGUUCACAACCUUCUGCUGAUGCCCAGUUGUCUUAUGUGAGUCUGACCAGCUACUGUGAGUCUCUACUGUCUUAUGCUCAAGCCCAUCAUCAACAGGUUAAAGACACCUUCCUGGAUUCCAAUUUAAAGGAUCUUGCUGGUCACAGUCUAGAGCAUGGCAACUGGAUAUUCUGGAAUCAUCAUCAGAGGAAGGCAGCCCUCGAGCCCUGUGGGAAAGAACCUUGGUGACUGAGGGACACGGCUUCCCAGGUCAGAGCCUUCCUGGCAAUGAGGGAAAUAUCAAUAUAUUGAACAGUUGCUCUGCGAUGCUUUCUCCUGAAAGAUCUUGAUCAAAAGGGGAAACAUGGACAGAGAUAACAAAAUAGAGUAACAUUAUCAAGGCUUCUAAAAUGGAGCUGGGAGGCCACUAAGGAAAUGGGCCUUAUGCACGCACCCCACGUCUCUAGCCAGAGGGAAUGUAGCUUUUGAACUGUGCUUCACAGUUGUCAUCUGGACCUUCUUCCAAGAAAUAUGUUUACUCUCAUAGAUAAGAACUUUCUGCUGUAGAGAUGGCCUUGCAACUGAUCACAUAGCCAAGAGUAACAGUUGUUUCCAGCACCAAUCACAAAUCUCACAAAACGACCUGUGUAACUUAGCUCUUUUUGCCUUUAUAAACCCCUGCAUCCCUGUCCUCCUCAGAAUACAUUUUGAAUUUCUGCCUGAAUCUGAGUCUCCUGAGUUGCAAUUCUAAUUGCCCAAAUAAAAAUCUGCUAUUUGAA